This 18-nucleotide small nuclear RNA is filed under the name Arabidopsis thaliana (thale cress). Its description in RNAcentral is "snRNA_05998". The record is from RNAcentral. Lineage: Eukaryota; Viridiplantae; Streptophyta; Magnoliopsida; Brassicales; Brassicaceae.
UGGAUUAUGACUGAACGC